GGGCUGGGGCUCAGCGGUAGAGCGCUUGCCUAGCACGUGUGAGAUCCUGGGUUCGAUCCCCAGCACCACA
This 70-nucleotide transfer RNA is filed under the name Marmota monax (woodchuck). RNAcentral describes it as "tRNA.Ala". The stretch from base 5 to 65 matches the Rfam family "tRNA", at positions 6 to 65 of the family's 71-position model. From Rfam's summary of the family: Transfer RNA (tRNA) molecules are approximately 80 nucleotides in length. Their secondary structure includes four short double-helical elements and three loops (D, anti-codon, and T loops). The record is from RNAcentral. Lineage: Eukaryota; Metazoa; Chordata; Mammalia; Rodentia; Sciuridae.